This 253-nucleotide ribosomal RNA is filed under the name uncultured bacterium. Its description in RNAcentral is "partial 16S ribosomal RNA". It matches the Rfam family "Bacterial small subunit ribosomal RNA", at positions 524 to 776 of the family's 1533-position model. The record is from RNAcentral.
UACGUAGGGUGCGAGCGUUGUCCGGAUUUAUUGGGCGUAAAGAGCUCGUAGGCGGCUUGUCGCGUCGGUUGUGAAAGCUCAGGGCUUAACCCUGGGUCUGCAGUCGAUACGGGCAGGCUAGAGUUCGGUAGGGGAGACUGGAAUUCCUGGUGUAGCGGUGAAAUGCGCAGAUAUCAGGAGGAACACCGGUGGCGAAGGCGGGUCUCUGGGCCGAUACUGACGCUGAGGAGCGAAAGCGUGGGGAGCGAACAGG